RNAcentral lists this ribosomal RNA (490 nucleotides) under uncultured bacterium. RNAcentral describes it as "partial 16S ribosomal RNA". It matches the Rfam family "Bacterial small subunit ribosomal RNA", at positions 28 to 507 of the family's 1533-position model. The record is from RNAcentral.
GAUGAACGCUAGCGGCAGGCCUAAUACAUGCAAGUCGAACGGGAUCCAGAUCAAAGCUUGCUUUGGUUUGGUGAGAGUGGCGUACGGGUGCGUAACGCGUGAGCAACCUACCCUUGUCAGGGGGAUAGCCCGGCGAAAGUCGGAUUAAUACCGCAUGACAUCAUUGAGAGGCAUCUUUCGAUGAUCAAAGAUUUAUCGGACAAGGAUGGGCUCGCGUGACAUUAGCUAGUUGGUAAGGUAACGGCUUACCAAGGCUACGAUGUCUAGGGGCUCUGAGAGGAGAAUCCCCCAAACUGGUACUGAGACACGGACCAGACUCCUACGGGAGGCAGCAGUAAGGAAUAUUGGUCAAUGGACGGAAGUCUGAACCAGCCAUGCCGCGUGCAGGAAGACGGCACUAUGGGUUGUAAACUGCUUUUAUACGGGAACAAACGUCGGUACGUGUACCGGUCUGAGUGUACCGUAAGAAUAAGGAUCGGCUAACUCCGUG